GACGGAGGGUGCUAGCGUUGUUCGGAAUGACUGGGCGUAAAGGGUGCGUAGGCGGUUGUUUAAGUUUGGUGUGAAAUCUCCCGGCUCAACUGGGAGGGUGCGCCGAAUACUGAAUGACUAGAGUGCGGGAGAGGAGAGUGGAAUUCCUGGUGUAGCGGUGAAAUGCGUAGAUAUCAGGAGGAACACCGGUGGUGUAGACGGCUCUCUGGACCGUAACUGACGCUGAGGCACGAAAGCGUGGGUAGCAAACAGG
Molecule: ribosomal RNA, 253 nt
Filed under: uncultured bacterium
Lineage: Bacteria
Description: partial 16S ribosomal RNA
Rfam family: Bacterial small subunit ribosomal RNA
Source: RNAcentral